Molecule: long non-coding RNA, 838 nt
Filed under: Gallus gallus (chicken)
Lineage: Eukaryota; Metazoa; Chordata; Aves; Galliformes; Phasianidae
Description: lncRNA (ENSGALG00010005801.1)
Source: RNAcentral
GGAUCUGUUCCAGCAAACUGCAGCAGCAGAUGAAGCUGCUUUAGAGCCUUUUGCUGUACUGAAUGAUGUCUUGACUUGUGAGGAGCGUUGGGGCAGUGGAUAGAGCUCUCAAUCUGAUUGUGAAUUGGGACAAAUGAUUUGUAGCUUAAAGGUGGUGAGUUUAGGGGUCACAAGAUUGUGUUUGGGUCAAGUCAGAGGUGGAAGAGACUGGACAUCAAGUUUGUUGUUGGAUCUUGAAAGGAAAGGAUCAUGGUGGUUUUGCUGAGUGUGGGCUUGGUGAUUUGAGUUGGGCUGUGUGAGAGGGUCUGAAGAGCAACAUUUAUUGUUUGUCUUCCAAGCCUACAAGAUGAGAGUGGGGGUGAUUGUGGUCAGCCUGCUAGCAAAUGAUGAAGAGCCGACAGUAGUUUUCAGAAGUUUGAAAACUCGCAUGUCACCUCAAGGAUCAUACUAUUACUGAGACUGCUGCAGUUGGUGGAGUCCCCUUGGUCUAUGAAACUCCUGCAAGCCACCCCAGACACUUAAAGCUUUCAUUAAAAAGUUGCCGCUGAGGGUAAAAGCAGGAAUGAUUUUCUCUUGGGAUCCUGGUGGAAAUAAGAAGAAAAAGAGAACUGACAAAUGAUAGAUGUUACAUUCCCCUAGGAGUUGAUGUUCCCACAAAUAACCAGCAAAACAAUAGCUGAGGAAGUGAUUGCUCUUUUCUAACAUCUGAAGAACGAUAACUUGUAAAGGAAAUAAGUUAUUUUAAGGUGGGAAAAUAACGUGGACCGUGAGCAGUCCAAACAGGUACUGCUUUCUCCUGGAAUGUUUCUAACAUAUUUACUUGUCCCCUCUAUUUCAG